RNAcentral lists this microRNA precursor (74 nucleotides) under Cricetulus griseus (Chinese hamster). RNAcentral's name for it is "let-7c-2 stem-loop (cgr-let-7c-2)". Its record names the gene cgr-let-7c-2. It matches the Rfam family "let-7 microRNA precursor family". Rfam says of the family: This family represents the microRNAs (miRNA) let-7 and mir-98. let-7 was identified from a study of developmental timing in C. elegans, and was later shown to be part of a much larger class of non-coding RNAs termed miRNAs. The extents of the hairpin precursors are not generally known and are estimated based on hairpin prediction. The record is from miRBase by way of RNAcentral. Lineage: Eukaryota; Metazoa; Chordata; Mammalia; Rodentia; Cricetidae.
GGGUGAGGUAGUAGGUUGUAUGGUUUUGGGCUCUGCCCCGCUCUGCGGUAACUAUACAAUCUACUGUCUUUCCU